AAAUAUUGCAACGUAUCCGCUAAGUGCCGUCCGUUAAAUCGUACAUCAAAAUUGUGUUCGAUGGAUCUAUACUUACGUCCUGGACUCAAAGUGGAGGCGCCAAUCUAUAUCGAAAUUAUUGGAUAUAAGAAAUUUCGAACCGCAUACCGUCAGCAUAUGCUAAAAUUGAAGUCAGAACUGUGUGCUCAACUUAAAAACACGACGAACCACCCAUUCUUCAGUCGAAUUUGAAAAUACGAAAUAAAGGGAAAUGUGUUCGAUCCGUGUCCCAUUACUGGCCAUCGAUUCAUAAAGCCGUACGUUCCGGAAUACGAACGAUUCCCGUUGGUACCAGUAGGAGAAUGGAAAGUGGACACCAUUGUAUCGAAAAUUGUAAACAACUUGGAAGAAUUUAUAGUGUCUUUCACGGACUAUUUUGAAGUGAAACCUACGAGUGCUGUAGAGUUCUGAAACAAAAAU
Molecule: long non-coding RNA, 459 nt
Organism: Bradysia coprophila
Lineage: Eukaryota; Metazoa; Arthropoda; Insecta; Diptera; Sciaridae
Source: RefSeq, a predicted model, not a curated record